UGCCCCAUUUGUAAGGAAAUGGAAGGACUUGGAAAAAAAAUACGAAGUAAACUAGGCCCAAAGAAAAGUCAGUUGCAUGGUUUCCCUCAUUUGUAAUAACUAGAAUAUGUCGAUGAUAUUCUUAACAAGAGAUCUCAAUAGCCCAGCUGCU
Perognathus longimembris pacificus (Pacific pocket mouse) is the source of this 151-nucleotide long non-coding RNA. RefSeq lists it as uncharacterized. The record is from RefSeq and is a predicted model, not a curated record. NCBI's taxonomy places the organism in Eukaryota, Metazoa, Chordata, Mammalia, Rodentia, Heteromyidae. The transcript is spliced from 3 exons.